GAUGAACGCUGGCGGCGUGCCUAAUACAUGCAAGUCGGGCGAACGGACGAGAAGCUUGCUUCUCUGAUGUUAGCGGCGGACGGGUGAGUAACACGUGGAUAACCUACCUAUAAGACUGGGAUAACUUCGGGAAACCGGAGCUAAUACCGGAUGAUAUUUUGAACCGCAUGGUUCAAAAGUGAAAGACGGUCUUGCUGUCACUUAUAGAUGGAUCCGCGCUGCAUUAGCUAGUUGGUAAGGUAACGGCUUACCAAGGCAACGAUGCAUAGCGGACCUGAGAGGGUGAUCGGCCACACUGGAACUGAGACACGGUCCAGACUCCUACGGGAGGCAGCAGUAGGGAAUCUUCCGCAAUGGGCGAAAGCCUGACGGAGCAACGCCGCGUGAGUGAUGAAGGUCUUCGGAUCGUAAAACUCUGUUAUUAGGGAAGAACAUAUGUGUAAGUAACUGUGCACAUCUUGACGGUACCUAAUCAGAAAGCCACGGCUAACUACGUG
RNAcentral lists this ribosomal RNA (497 nucleotides) under uncultured bacterium. RNAcentral describes it as "partial 16S ribosomal RNA". It matches the Rfam family "Bacterial small subunit ribosomal RNA", at positions 28 to 507 of the family's 1533-position model. The record is from RNAcentral.